AUGCCUCUGCUCGCCCCCGGCAUCAUCCUUCGCGACGCGCGGACGCCGCGGGGGUUCGUCCAGCUCCUCGCCUCCUCCUCCUCCCCGCUUCCGCCAAGCCCGUCCGCCGCGGCGCAGUGCCAUGGGCUGGCCACCAAGCUCGGCCUCGCGGCCAGCAACGUCUUCGCGGGCACCGCCCUCCUCGCCUUCUACUGCCGCUGCCGCCGCCCGCGCGACGCCCGGCGGCUGUUCGACGAAAUGCCCGAGAGGAGCGGCGUCACCUGGAGCGCGCUCGUCUACGGCCACGCGCGGUCCAGCGCGCCCGGCCUCGCCGUGGAGGCGUUCGGACGCAUGGUGCGCGCCGGCUUCUCCCCCACGGCGGCGGCCGUGUCCAGCGCCCUUGUCGCGUGCUCGAGGAUGGAGGACGCCCGCGUAGGGGCGAUGCUCCAUGCCGCUGGCCUCAAGUGCGGCGGCAGCGUCUGUGGCAGCGUCGUCGUCGGGACUGCGUUGGUGGACAUGUACGCCAAAUGCCGUGAUGUUUCGGCUGCUCAGCGGGUUCUUGAGGAGAUGGAAGAGAAGAACGUGGCCACUUUUACGGCUCUUGUGGGCGGGUUCGCCUCAGCCGGAAGACCUCGCGAGGCCAUGGUGCUGGUCAGGGAGAUGGAACAGUCAGGGGUGGCACCAAAUAUGAUGACAUACAGCAGCCUUCUCAGCUCAUUUGCGGGUCCUGAAGACCUCAAUCAUGGGAGGCAAGCGCAUUGUGCGGUGCUAAAGAAGGGUCUCGAGCACAAUCCCUAUGUUCUGUCCACUCUUAUGACCAUGUACUCCAAGUGUGGCAUCUUAGAUGAUUUCAGGAAGGUGCAGAUGGCUGUUUCAUGCCAGGAUCAGGUGUCGCUCAAUUCCGUGAUCUCGGGGCUCUCCUGUUUGGGAAGAGGCGACGAGGCGUUUGAACAGUUCUUGGAGAUGAGACGGCAUGGCGCUGACACAGAUAUGUUCACCUUUGGCAGCAUGCUGAAGGCUAUAGGGAGCUCAUCCUCGCUGCUGGAGGGAAGACAAGUCCAUGCUCUGAUCCUCAAAACUGGGUAUGAGUCUGAUGUGAAUGUCCAGAACGGUUUGAUCUCCAUGUACGCCAGGCGCGGCGAGAUAGGGGAGUCCAGGGAUGUUUUCGCUUCGGUGGAAGCGCCUGACUUGGUCUCCUGGAAUUCGCUUCUGACAGGCUAUGCUCAACAUGGUUAUGGCAAAGAGGUGGUUGAGGUGUUUGAACAGAUGAGGAGACUGAAUGUUCAGCCAGACAACACAACCUUCUUGUUGGUGCUUACAGCUUGCAGCCACGCCGGUUUGGUGGAUACAGGGUUGGAGUACUUCAACUUGAUGAAAACAAACGGGUUUCUCGCAGGGGCGCGGCUAGAGCACUACGCGUGCGUGGUCGAUCUUCUCGGUCGAGCAGGCCAUCUCCAAGAAGCCGAGGCUUUGAUCAACGACAUGCCUAUUGAACCUGGCGUCUCGGUGUACAGAGCUCUGCUUAGUGCCUGCCAGAUCCACGGCAACCUUGAGAUCGCGAUCCGGGUGACCACACGCCUGAUCGAGCUCUACCCGCACGACUCCUCUGCCCAUGUUCAGCUGUCAAAGGCCUUUGCCGGUGAUGGCCACUGGGGUGAUGCUGCCGAGGUCAGGGAGGCCAUGGCAGGUAAAGGGAUAGUGAAGAACCCUGCUUGGAGCUGUGUCGAGGACCGGGUACAGGUUGGAUAA
This 1728-nucleotide ribosomal RNA is filed under the name Triticum aestivum (bread wheat). RNAcentral's name for it is "partial small subunit ribosomal RNA". The record is from RNAcentral. Lineage: Eukaryota; Viridiplantae; Streptophyta; Magnoliopsida; Poales; Poaceae.